AGAGUUUGGAUCUGGCUCAGAUUGAACGCUGGCGGCAGGCCUAACACAUGCAAGUCGAGCGGAAACGACACUAACAAUCCUUCGGGUGCGUUAAUGGGCGUCGAGCGGCGGACGGGUGAGUAAUGCCUAGGAAAUUGCCUUGAUGUGGGGGAUAACCAUUGGAAACGAUGGCUAAUACCGCAUAAUGCCUACGGGCCAAAGAGGGGGACCUUCGGGCCUCUCGCGUCAAGAUAUGCCUAGGUGGGAUUAGCUAGUUGGUGAGGUAAUGGCUCACCAAGGCGACGAUCCCUAGCUGGUCUGAGAGGAUGAUCAGCCACACUGGAACUGAGACACGGUCCAGACUCCUACGGGAGGCAGCAGUGGGGAAUAUUGCACAAUGGGCGAAAGCCUGAUGCAGCCAUGCCGCGUGUAUGAAGAAGGCCUUCGGGUUGUAAAGUACUUUCAGUUGUGAGGAAGGGUGUGUAGUUAAUAGCUGCRCAUCUUGACGUUAGCAACAGAAGAAGCACCGGCUAACUCCGUGCCAGC
RNAcentral lists this ribosomal RNA (525 nucleotides) under Vibrio tasmaniensis. RNAcentral's name for it is "bacterial SSU rRNA". It matches the Rfam family "Bacterial small subunit ribosomal RNA", at positions 8 to 512 of the family's 1533-position model. The record is from RNAcentral. Lineage: Bacteria; Pseudomonadati; Pseudomonadota; Gammaproteobacteria; Vibrionales; Vibrionaceae.